UACGGAGGGUGCAAGCGUUAUCCGGAUUCACUGGGCUUAAAGGGUGCGUAGGUGGGCAGGUAAGUCAGUGGUGAAAUCUCCGGGCUUAACCCGGAAACUGCCGUUGAUACUAUCUGUCUUGAAUAUCCUGGAGGUGAGCGGAAUAUGUCAUGUAGCGGUGAAAUGCUUAGAUAUGACAUAGAACACCAAUUGCGAAGGCAGCUCACUACGGGAUUAUUGACACUGAGGCACGAAAGCGUGGGGAUCAAACAGG
This 253-nucleotide ribosomal RNA is filed under the name uncultured bacterium. RNAcentral's name for it is "partial 16S ribosomal RNA". It matches the Rfam family "Bacterial small subunit ribosomal RNA", at positions 524 to 776 of the family's 1533-position model. The record is from RNAcentral.